This 258-nucleotide ribosomal RNA is filed under the name uncultured bacterium. RNAcentral's name for it is "partial small subunit ribosomal RNA". It matches the Rfam family "Bacterial small subunit ribosomal RNA", at positions 26 to 285 of the family's 1533-position model. The record is from RNAcentral.
AGGACGAACGCUGGCGGCGUGCUUAACACAUGCAAGUCGAGCGAGGCCCUUCCUUCGGGAAGGUGCCCUAGCGGCGAACGGGUGAGUAACACGUGGGCAACCUGCCCCUAGCACUGGGAUAACUCCGGGAAACCGGGGCUAAUACCGGAUAUGACCUUUGAGGGCAUCCUCGAAGGUGUAAAGGACUCUGGCUAGGGAUGGGCCCGCGGCCUAUCAGCUUGUUGGUGGGGUAAUGGCCUACCAAGGCGACGACGGGUA